RNAcentral lists this ribosomal RNA (308 nucleotides) under uncultured bacterium. RNAcentral's name for it is "partial 16S ribosomal RNA". It matches the Rfam family "Bacterial small subunit ribosomal RNA", at positions 505 to 807 of the family's 1533-position model. The record is from RNAcentral.
GAGACAGCAGUCGCCGCGGUAAUACAGAGGGUGCGAGCGUUAAUCGGAUUUACUGGGCGUAAAGCGUGCGUAGGCGGCUUCUUAAGUCGGAUGUGAAAUCCCUGAGCUUAACUUAGGAAUUGCAUUCGAUACUGGGAAGCUAGAGUAUGGGAGAGGAUGGUAGAAUUCCAGGUGUAGCGGUGAAAUGCGUAGAGAUCUGGAGGAAUACCGAUGGCGAAGGCAGCCAUCUGGCCUAAUACUGACGCUGAGGUACGAAAGCAUGGGGAGCAAACAGGAUUAGAUACCCGAGUAGUCCCUGUCUCUUAUAC